Molecule: transfer RNA, 83 nt
Filed under: Erysipelotrichia bacterium
Lineage: Bacteria; Bacillati; Bacillota; Erysipelotrichia
Description: tRNA-Leu
Rfam family: tRNA
About the family: Transfer RNA (tRNA) molecules are approximately 80 nucleotides in length.
Source: RNAcentral
GGGCGAGUGGUGGAAUUGGCAGACACAGCAGUCUUAGAAGCUGCCGCUCCGGCGUAGGGGUUCGAGUCCCCUUUCGCCCACCA